Molecule: long non-coding RNA, 591 nt
Filed under: Sorghum bicolor (sorghum)
Lineage: Eukaryota; Viridiplantae; Streptophyta; Magnoliopsida; Poales; Poaceae
Description: long non-coding RNA (SBIC_LNC013398)
Source: RNAcentral
AGUCAUACAAGGAAGAUACUUAUACGUUUGUUUCUACUAUAAGGAAGCGAUUUGAAGAAUAUGAUAUAAGUUAGAGAGUAGAAAUAUGGCAUGAUGAUCUAUAGAAUCAAUUUUUAUGUCUCAUUCUAUAAAUUUGAGAUAGGCUUAUUUGUGAACUUGAAAAAAUAGUGGAAUAUUAAAUUCAGCAUAAUCCAUUAAGUAGAUUGUAAUUCCUCUAAAAUAUGGCCCGUAACUAAAAUUGGUCAUUUGGGAAAUUAAAAGGAAUUUAAGUUUAUUUGUAUCGUAAAAGAUUAGACAAAUAUUUAGACAUCAUGGACGUAUCCUUAUCAAAUUCAUUUUGACCCGAUCUUGCUCGAACAAAGGCUAGAAAAAAAAGAGAUCUAAAAAAAAACCGCGCCACUUGUCCUGUCAAAAGCAGAGUAAUGGAUGGCCGGUGCGCAAUCAGCAGGCGAAAACGACGAUGAUAUAUUAAUAUCUGUGUCAAGCAGAGGAUUGCAUCAGUUGUCGGCAAAUAGUCGCUGCAAACGACAAUUCAAAAAGGUCCCGAAGAUAAGAUGCUGUACUUUCAGAGGGCGAGUAUAUAUGUCUGCU